RNAcentral lists this ribosomal RNA (914 nucleotides) under uncultured archaeon. RNAcentral describes it as "bacterial SSU rRNA". It matches the Rfam family "Archaeal small subunit ribosomal RNA", at positions 1 to 922 of the family's 1478-position model. The record is from RNAcentral.
UUCCGGUUGAUCCCGCCGGACCUGACUGCUAUCGGAUUGAUACUAAGCCAUGCGAGUCUUUGUAGUAAUACAAGGCAGACGGCUCAGUAACGCGUAGUCAACCUACCCUAUGGACGGGAAUAAUCUCGGGAAACUGAGCAUAAUACCCGGCGUACCACCAUUCCUGGAAUGGUUGGUGGUUAAAAUGAUUCGUCGCCGUAGGAUGGGACUGCGACCUAUCAGCUUGUUGGUGAGGUAAAGGCCCACCAAGGCGAUUACAGGUACGGGCUCUGAGAGGAGAAGCCCGGAGAUGGGUACUGAGACACGGACCCAGGCCCUAUGGGGCGCAGCAGGCGAGAAAACUUUGCAAUGUGCGAAAGCACGACAAGGUUAAUCCGAGUGAUUUCUGCUAAAGGAAUCUUUUGCCAGUUCUAAAAAUACUAGUGAAUAAGGGGUGGGCAAGUUCUGGUGUCAGCCGCCGCGGUAAAACCAGCACCUCAAGUGGUCAGGAGGAUUAUUGGGCCUAAAGCAUCCGUAGCCUGCUCUGUAAGUUUUCGGUUAAAUCUAUAUGCUCAACAUAUAGGCUGCCGAAAAUACUGCAGUGCUAGGAAGUGGGAGAGGUAGACGGUACUUGAUAGGAAGGGGUAAAAUCCUUUGAUCUAUCGAUGACCACCUGUGGCGAAGGCGGUCUACCAGAACACGUUCGACGGUGAGGGAUGAAAGCUGGGGGAGCAAACCGGAUUAGAUACCCGGGUAGUCCCAGCUGUAAACGAUGCAGACUCGAUGAUGCAUUGGCAUAUAGCCAGUGCAGUGUCGCAGGGAAGCCGUUAAGUCUGCCGCCUGGGAAGUACGUACGCAAGUAUGAAACUUAAAGGAAUUGGCGGGGGAGCACCACAAGGGGUGAAGCCUGCGGUUCAAUUGGAUUCAACGCCGGA